CGCGUAGGCGGACUUUCAAGUCAGGGGUGAAAUCCCGAGGCUCAACCUCGGAACUGCCUUUGAUACUGAUCGUCUUGAGUCCGAGAGAGGUGAGUGGAAUUCCUAGUGUAGAGGUGAAAUUCGUAGAUAUUAGGAAGAACACCAGUGGCGAAGGCGGCUCACUGGCUCGGUACUGACGCUGAGGCGCGAAAGCGUGGGGAGCAAACAGGAUUAGAUACCCUGGUAGUCC
Molecule: ribosomal RNA, 229 nt
Filed under: uncultured bacterium
Lineage: Bacteria
Description: partial 16S ribosomal RNA
Rfam family: Bacterial small subunit ribosomal RNA
Source: RNAcentral